AGCACCUUUAAUUCAGUCCCGUGAGGCUGGCAAGGUAACGUGAAUGGGGAAGCAGGCCGAACUGCGCUUAAUUUUCAUGAGCUCUGGCAUGCCCAAUCCCCCGUGACAGUCAUAGUUUAACUGUGGCUGGAGACUCCUUGCCUGGAUCAGGCAAGGAGUUUUUUUAU
Regulatory RNA element from Paenibacillus macerans, 167 nucleotides. It matches the Rfam family "PyrR binding site". Rfam says of the family: This family represents the PyrR binding site and terminator structure. This RNA structure is found upstream of a variety of genes involved in pyrimidine biosynthesis and transport. Lineage: Bacteria; Bacillati; Bacillota; Bacilli; Caryophanales; Paenibacillaceae. The record is from Rfam.